Molecule: ribosomal RNA, 1269 nt
Filed under: Triticum aestivum (bread wheat)
Lineage: Eukaryota; Viridiplantae; Streptophyta; Magnoliopsida; Poales; Poaceae
Description: partial small subunit ribosomal RNA
Source: RNAcentral
AUGGAUGAGAUGGUCAAGUCUGCCAUUGUCGGGGAAGGAGUAAGCUGGAUCUUUUCUAGUAUUGCAGCCGCCAGCAAAACCGAGGAGAAACCAGAUUUAGAAGCAACAAGAUGUGGUGGCCUAGAAAGGCUGGAGAUGGCGCGCAUCAAAAUGGAGGCCGCGCUCCAGACAUCCAACAAGUGGCAGAUCACUGACACGUCACUGCUCGAUUGGCGAAAGAAGCUGAAAUACGCUUCCCAGGACUGCAACGACGCAGUACGCAGAUGUAGACAACUUUCUCGUGAAGAAGACGAGGCGGAGCAGGUCGUAAGGAAAUCCUCAUUUCCUAGACGUUUCGCUCAUGCGACCAAGGCAUUCAUUUCCUCUCGUGUUGGCCGCAACAAUGAUGAUUGCUCUAUGGGCAGUGCCACCGUUCAAAGAUUCGAGAGGCUCGCGGAUGGUGCUGGUGAAUUUAUGAGAUAUGUGCAGCUUGGGUCACCACGACAACACCUAUUCUUUGACCCUCUCAUUGGGCAUAUCUUUGCAGGGAAAUCGUUGUUGUAUCAUGUGUUGGACCCAGGAGGCCAGUUAAAUAUAUUCGGUAUACGCUUAAUGAGCUUCGAGGACAGAGGGUUAGAGGCCAUGGCAACCUUCGUAUAUCAAGAUUGCAAGGCGCCCAAGAACAAUUUCCGCCUCGGGUUCAUGUUGCGUGUUUCAGAGAGUACAGACAUAAUCGGAACUACAAUCAAGUGCUUGCGACGGGUGACGCCUCACUUCAAGUCUACUGCAGAAAUUGUCAUCAACGAGAUCACGCAGCUCCCCACGCAAGAUUUCUUCUGUGUGCCGCAACCGCAACUGGGGAUUUUAUUCAUGCCUCAUCACUCACUGGAGAAUCCCGAGUCCACAAGCGAGGGCUCCGCGAUAGAGGCGAUCGAUGGAGAGAAGCAACACCUCACCCAUGUAAAUGUUCACCCGGACCAACUCGAUGAAAUGCUUCUCCCGAAGGCGAUAGAUUAUCUCUAUCAUAACACUGAAGUUACAAAUUACCAGAUAUGUUGGACAUCUAACCACGGCAGUGCACACCUAUAUGUGGAGAACACAAGGCUCGCUGGGCCAUGCAUAGCCCUUAAAUCCACAAGACGAGAUAUUCAUAACAUGUUUCGUCAGAAGCAGCAGGAUCAACAAAUAAAGAAAGUGCAGUUGAAGCAGGUUGCCAGAGAUUACCUCAAACUAUGGGUCGUGCGUUCCUCUGAGAGGGUGCGGAGCUUGUUCUCGGCAUGGAUCGAUUAG